AAAUGGAGGGACGUAUAUAAAUUUUUGCGAAACUUUAGCAGACAUCACUUGAUGGUAGGAAAGUUCUGUUUUCUUAUACCCCAAAUAAAUCAAGCUGCUCGUCAUAAAAAUGUUCAAUUUAGAAUACAAUUCGAUUUCUUCAAAAUAUAUUCUGAACACCAGACAUGUUCAAUUCAAUAUUGUAGCCGUAAACAUGUUUAACUAUAGAAUGAUUCUGUUUUUAUUUUAUUUUUUAGUCUUGCUAGUAUUAUAGAACAUAUGUUUAAAUGUUAUUCAAUUAGAUGAUAAUAAAGUUUUG
RNAcentral lists this long non-coding RNA (298 nucleotides) under Mytilus galloprovincialis (Mediterranean mussel). The record is from RNAcentral. Lineage: Eukaryota; Metazoa; Mollusca; Bivalvia; Mytilida; Mytilidae.